UACGAAGGGGGCUAGCGUUGCUCGGAAUUACUGGGCGUAAAGGGCGCGUAGGCGGAUAGUUCAGUUGGGGGUGAAAGCCCGGGGCUCAACCUCGGAACUGCCUUCAAUACUGGCUAUCUUGAGUACGGGAGAGGUGUGUGGAACUCCGAGUGUAGAGGUGAAAUUCGUAGAUAUUCGGAAGAACACCAGUGGCGAAGGCGGCUCACUGGACCGGCAUUGACGCUGAGGUGCGAAAGCGUGGGGAGCAAACAGG
This 253-nucleotide ribosomal RNA is filed under the name uncultured bacterium. RNAcentral describes it as "partial 16S ribosomal RNA". It matches the Rfam family "Bacterial small subunit ribosomal RNA", at positions 524 to 776 of the family's 1533-position model. The record is from RNAcentral.